ACACAAAAAUGCACAUGCUGUGAGCUCGAUGAGUAGGGCGGGACACGUGGUAUCCUGUCUGAAUAUGGGGGGACCAUCCUCCAAGGCUAAAUACUCCUGACUGACCGAUAGUGAACCAGUACCGUGAGGGAAAGGCGAAAAGAACCCCGGCGAGGGGAGUGAAAAAGAACCUGAAACCGUGUACGUACAAGCAGUGGGAGCACGCUUAGGCGUGUGACUGCGUACCUUUUGUAUAAUGGGUCAGCGACUUAUAUUCUGUAGCAAGGUUAACCGAAUAGGGGAGCCGAAGGGAAACCGAGUCUUAACUGGGCGUUAAGUUGCAGGGUAUAGACCCGAAACCCGGUGAUCUAGCCAUGGGCAGGUUGAAGGUUGGGUAACACUAACUGGAGGACCGAACCGACUAAUGUUGAAAAAUUAGCGGAUGACUUGUGGCUGGGGGUGAAAGGCCAAUCAAACCGGGAGAUAGCUGGUUCUCCCCGAAAGCUAUUUAGGUAGCGCCUCGUGAAUUCAUCUCCGGGGGUAGAGCACUGUUUCGGCAAGGGGGUCAUCCCGACUUACCAACCCGAUGCAAACUGCGAAUACCGGAGAAUGUUAUCACGGGAGACACACGGCGGGUGCUAACGUCCGUCGUGAAGAGGGAAACAACCCAGACCGCCAGCUAAGGUCCCAAAGUCAUGGUUAAGUGGGAAACGAUGUGGGAAGGCCCAGACAGCCAGGAUGUUGGCUUAGAAGCAGCCAUCAUUUAAAGAAAGCGUAAUAGCUCACUGGUCGAGUCGGCCUGCGCGGAAGAUGUAACGGGGCUAAACCAUGCACCGAAGCUGCGGCAGCGACGCUUAUGCGUUGUUGGGUAGGGGAGCGUUCUGUAAGCCUGUGAAGGUGUACUGUGAGGUAUGCUGGAGGUAUCAGAAGUGCGAAUGCUGACAUAAGUAACGAUAAAGCGGGUGAAAAGCCCGCUCGCCGGAAGACCAAGGGUUCCUGUCCAACGUUAAUCGGGGCAGGGUGAGUCGACCCCUAAGGCGAGGCCGAAAGGCGUAGUCGAUGGGAAACAGGUUAAUAUUCCUGUACUUGGUGUUACUGCGAAGGGGGGACGGAGAAGGCUAUGUUGGCCGGGCGACGGUUGUCCCGGUUUAAGCGUGUAGGCUGGUUUUCCAGGCAAAUCCGGAAAAUCAAGGCUGAGGCGUGAUGACGAGGCACUACGGUGCUGAAGCAACAAAUGCCCUGCUUCCAGGAAAAGCCUCUAAGCAUCAGGUAACAUCAAAUCGUACCCCAAACCGACACAGGUGGUCAGGUAGAGAAUACCAAGGCGCUUGAGAGAACUCGGGUGAAGGAACUAGGCAAAAUGGUGCCGUAACUUCGGGAGAAGGCACGCUGAUAUGUAGGUGAAGUCCCUCGCGGAUGGAGCUGAAAUCAGUCGAAGAUACCAGCUGGCUGCAACUGUUUAUUAAAAACACAGCACUGUGCAAACACGAAAGUGGACGUAUACGGUGUGACGCCUGCCCGGUGC
RNAcentral lists this ribosomal RNA (1504 nucleotides) under Escherichia coli. RNAcentral describes it as "partial 23S ribosomal RNA". It matches the Rfam family "Bacterial large subunit ribosomal RNA", at positions 377 to 1869 of the family's 2925-position model. The record is from RNAcentral. Lineage: Bacteria; Pseudomonadati; Pseudomonadota; Gammaproteobacteria; Enterobacterales; Enterobacteriaceae.